GAUUGAACGCUGGCGGCGUGCUUAACACAUGCAAGUCGAGCGGUAACAGGCGUAGCAAUACGUGCUGACGAGCGGCGAACGGGUGCGUAAUACAUCGGAAUCUGCCUCGUAGUGGGGAAUAACCCGGCGAAAGCCGGGCUAAUGCCGCAUACGAUCCACGGAUAGAAAGCGGGGGACCGUAAGGCCUCGCGCUAUGAGAUGAGCCGAUGUCGGAUUAGCAGUUGGUGAGGUAAUGGCUCACCAAGGCGACGAUCCGUAGCUGGUCUGAGAGGACGGCCAGGCCACACUGGGACUGAGACACGGCCCAGACUCCUACGGGAGGCAGCAGUGGGAAUCUUGCGCAAUGGGCGAAAGCCUGACGCAGCGACGCCGCGUGAGGGAUGACGGCCUCGGUUGU
Molecule: ribosomal RNA, 397 nt
Filed under: uncultured bacterium
Lineage: Bacteria
Description: bacterial SSU rRNA
Rfam family: Bacterial small subunit ribosomal RNA
Source: RNAcentral